AAUGCAAAAACUUCUGGUGGCAGCUAUUACCGCUAGCAGAAAAGUGAAUAUUUGCUUACAUUUAGGAUGUUGUUCUUUCAGCACUGAAUGUUUGUUGAAUUAACAUCAAAGAGCCAAUUAUGUGUACAUCGAUGAUCAUUAACCUUAAUUAAUCGUUCUUAUUUUUACUAUGCCAUACAAUAGUAAUCAUGACCACGAAAACGUUUAUGUUUAAUCAAACAUUAUGAUGACAACCACAAAUUGGUAACCAUUCGAAUAGUGGUGAUUACCAUGAUACGUAGUUGACUACAGUGCUUUGAAAGACUCAAUUUUUGAUGUAGGCUUGUAAAACAUCUAGCACGAAGCAUCUACUUCAAUGCAAUUCAAGUUGAUUCUACUACGAAUUUCCUCGAAACUGCGUCGGACCUCAAACUAAAAAAACAUGUCGGAAUUCAACCCACCACGGACGACUCAAUGUGGAUGAUAGUUCCGUGAUGGCCGCGGAUGGUUCCAGCGAAAUGAUUCACAACAACAAACAGGUCGAGUGCAACGAAGAGGGGAUCCGCGACCUAAAUGGGUUUCCAGACAUUUCGGUGGCACUGUAGAAGAUAAUGGCUAACCCGAGCUGCAGGAACAUCGAUGCAUACACCGACGAGAUCGAAAUAAAUUCCCUGAAUGACCAACCAAUGUCAGCAGACCUCAUCCGGCACCUUCGAAGACGCCGGCUGCUAACAAUUUCGCCGAGGGCUACUCAGCAGUGUGCCAUCCAACUUUUUUUUUUUUUUAUGUCUUUAUUUAUGUGAAUUUUAACACAU
Long non-coding RNA from Aedes aegypti (yellow fever mosquito), 794 nucleotides. RefSeq lists it as uncharacterized. NCBI's taxonomy places the organism in Eukaryota, Metazoa, Arthropoda, Insecta, Diptera, Culicidae. The record is from RefSeq and is a predicted model, not a curated record. The transcript has 3 exons.